Molecule: ribosomal RNA, 253 nt
Filed under: uncultured bacterium
Lineage: Bacteria
Description: partial 16S ribosomal RNA
Rfam family: Bacterial small subunit ribosomal RNA
Source: RNAcentral
UACAGAGGUCUCAAGCGUUGUUCGGAUUCAUUGGGCGUAAAGGGUGCGUAGGUGGCGCUGUAAGUCGGGUGUGAAAUUUCGGAGCUUAACUCCGAAACUGCAUUCGAUACUGCGGUGCUUGAGGACUGGAGAGGAGACUGGAAUUCAUGGUGUAGCAGUGAAAUGCGUAGAUAUCGAGAGGAACACCAGUGGCGAAGGCGAGUCUCUGGACAUUUCCUGACGCUGAGGCACGAAAGCCAGGGGAGCAAACGGG